Molecule: ribosomal RNA, 300 nt
Filed under: Rhizoecus hibisci
Lineage: Eukaryota; Metazoa; Arthropoda; Insecta; Hemiptera; Pseudococcidae
Description: partial 28S large subunit ribosomal RNA
Source: RNAcentral
AAACCGUUCGGGGGUAAACGGACAGAGCCCGUGAAUCCGGGCGGCAAAAUUCAGAAUCGAUGGCCGGCAACGGUCGUCGGUUUAAUAUUUUUGUCGCCGCUACUUUUCGGACGUCGCGACCCGUUUGGUGUCGGUCUUAGGAGUCGUGUUUUCGUUCGUUGCCGCGUCGCUCUCGGGUGGCGCGGCGGUGAGUGCGCGAUUUCCGGCUGACUCGCCAGACGGUACGCUAGAGGUGGCCUUCGUCGCCCUUUAGGCGGCGAAUGGUACCGGUCUGCGACGAAUUUUCGGGCCUCUUUCCGA